RNAcentral lists this unclassified non-coding RNA (914 nucleotides) under Hevea brasiliensis (rubber tree). The record is from RNAcentral. Lineage: Eukaryota; Viridiplantae; Streptophyta; Magnoliopsida; Malpighiales; Euphorbiaceae.
UGGCCCUAUCUCCAAAUUUGUCGGGAUGAAGGCUUAGUUGAGUUUUGAAAUAGGCCCUAUCAAUCUUAAGAAAACAACGUAUGAAAGAGAAACAUCACAACUAGUCGCAUAAGCAAACAAUUUCAAGGGUUCUUAGAAACCUUGAGAGGAGGAUUAUCAGGCGCCAGAGCCUCGGCAACAAACUGCGGUCCAAGAGCUGAACCUCCGAUCCCCACAGAGAGAAUUUGAGUAAAACGGCCUUCUAGCGAAGAUGGGGGUUUAAUCUCACCACUGACGACUUCCUCGGCGAACUUGCAAACGGCGUCAAGCGUCGAGUCAAUCUUCGUUUUCAAAAAAGAGUUGGGCGCCAGGCUCGAAUUCCUCAACCAAUAAUGCCCAACCAUCCUCCCUUCAUCGGGAUUCGCAAUCGCGCCUUUCUCCAGCUCCUCCAUGUCCUUAAACGCCUUCUGUAAUCGGGGCUCCAUAUCCCUCACAAACUCGUCGUGGAAGCCGAUCCGGCUUACGUCCAAAUACAGUCCUAGCUCCUUGUGUUGGUAGAGCCAGUCCACGUAUCUCCUCCAUAGAGCGGUAGGAUCUUUUGUCAACCCUUGUUUCGGCUUACUCGGCAACUUAUCAUUUGUCUCCGAUGAAUCAGAGGAGAUCUCGCGAGCUAUGGACUGAAUUGGCUCGAGUCGAGAGCGAGUUGGAAAUGCGAGUGAGGUCUUAAGGGGCGUGGAAUUGAUAGUGGUUUUUAGAAGAGGGGUUUUGGGCUUGAGAGAAGGGGAAGAGGAGCAGAGGCCGGAGAGGGAGGCCAUUGAGAAACGACGCCGUCGACUGUUACGAGAGAGGGAGAGAGAGAAGAGUACUUACUCCACAGCUGGCGAUAUUUUUUGGUGAAAUCGAAAGUGUGGCUUUUGGGCGUGGAUGACUUUUUG